Molecule: ribosomal RNA, 253 nt
Filed under: uncultured bacterium
Lineage: Bacteria
Description: partial 16S ribosomal RNA
Rfam family: Bacterial small subunit ribosomal RNA
Source: RNAcentral
UAAGUAGGGGGCAAGCGUUAUCCGGAUUUACUGGGUGUAAAGGGAGCGUAGACGGUAUGUCAAGUCUGAUGUGAAAGCCCGGGGCUCAACCCCGGGAUUGCAUUGGAAACUGGCUUACUAGAGUGCAGGAGAGGUAAGUGGAAUUCCUAGUGUAGCGGUGAAAUGCGUAGAUAUUAGGAGGAACACCAGUGGCGAAGGCGGCUUACUGGACUGUAACUGACGUUGAGGCUCGAAAGCGUGGGGAGCAAACAGG